UACGUAGGGCGCAAGCGUUGUCCGGAAUUAUUGGGCGUAAAGAGCUCGUAGGCGGUUUGUCGCGUCGGAUGUGAAAGCCCGGGGCUUAACCCCGGGUCUGCAUUCGAUACGGGCAGACUGGAGUGUGGUAGGGGAGAUCGGAAUUCCUGGUGCAGCGGUGAAAUGCGCAGAUAUCAGGAGGAACACCGGUGGCGAAGGCGGUUCUCUGGGCAUUACCUGACGCUGAGGAGCGAAAGUGUGGGGAGCGAACAGG
RNAcentral lists this ribosomal RNA (253 nucleotides) under uncultured bacterium. RNAcentral's name for it is "partial 16S ribosomal RNA". It matches the Rfam family "Bacterial small subunit ribosomal RNA", at positions 524 to 776 of the family's 1533-position model. The record is from RNAcentral.